RNAcentral lists this long non-coding RNA (576 nucleotides) under Equus caballus (horse). RNAcentral's name for it is "lncRNA (ENSECAG00000057315.1)". Lineage: Eukaryota; Metazoa; Chordata; Mammalia; Perissodactyla; Equidae. The record is from RNAcentral.
CUCAGUUCUUCUCCUUUCUGACUGAACCCUGAUUAGUUCAAAAUCCCAUAUCAAGCCAGAUGAAGGAGUUUGAGUAGUGAGUGAUUGAAAGAAGAAUGCGUUCUCCAGUGGGUUCAUCCAUGCUCAUGUCAUACCUCUGAGAUCUCCUCUGGUCUGUAAUUUUGGAAGCUCAAAAUCCCAGAAGUAUGCUGAACGACAUCGGGCAGAGGAGAAAGCUUUAAAGCAUAGAUGUGCGUUGCUGUUGAAGUUUCUUCCUGACAUACAUAAAUGAAAUCAAAGAAGAACGAGGUGAGCCUGUGACACUUCUGGGACCUCAUCACUUUCAUUGGACAGAAAAGGCUCUGCAUUCAACCAGCAGCUCCAGGGGUUAUAAUCCAAAACAGCCUUUUAGACCUGGAACUUACAAUUUCCUUCCAAAUGACUGUGGGAGCAUGGCUAGAUAAUUAUACAUCUCAACCAUUGUGUAAACCAAUUUAAUUAACAUUUUUCAGGCAUGUCACAUUUGUACAAUCACUAAAUAAUUUUCUAAAAUUAUGUUGCCUUAGAAAUUGCCACGUAUCAACCUGGAUUAUUCUG